RNAcentral lists this ribosomal RNA (460 nucleotides) under uncultured bacterium. RNAcentral's name for it is "partial 16S ribosomal RNA". It matches the Rfam family "Bacterial small subunit ribosomal RNA", at positions 338 to 795 of the family's 1533-position model. The record is from RNAcentral.
CCUACGGGUGGCAGCAGUGAGGAAUAUUGGUCAAUGGACGCAAGUCUGAACCAGCCAUGCCGCGUGCAGGAAGACGGCUCUAUGAGUUGUAAACUGCUUUUGUACGAGGGUAAACGCAGAUACGCGUAUCUGUCUGAAAGUAUCGUACGAAUAAGGAUCGGCCAACUCCGUGCCAGCAGCCGCGGUAAAACGGAGGAUUCAAGCGUUAUCCGGAUUUAUUUGGUUUAAAGGGUGCGUAGGCGGUCGGAUAAGUUAGAGGUGAAAUCCCGAGGCUCAACUUCGGAAUUGCCUCUGAUACUGUUGAUCUAGAGAGUAGAUGCGGUAGGCGGAAUGUAUGGUGUAGCGGUGAAAUGCUUAGAGAUCAUACAGAACACCGAUGGCGAAGGCAGCUUACCAAUCUAUAUCUGACGUUGAGGCACGAAAGCGUGGGGAGCAAACAGGAUUAGAUACCCGGGUAGUC